UGGGGAAUAUUGCACAAUGGGCGAAAGCCUGAUGCAGCCAUGCCGCGUGUAUGAAGAAGGCCUUCGGGUUGUAAAGUACUUUCAGUUGUGAGGAAGGUUUCGUAGUUAAUAACUGCGUUGCUUGACGUUAGCAACAGAAGAAGCACCGGCUAACUCCGUGCCAGCAGCCGCGGUAAUACGGAGGGUGCGAGCGUUAAUCGGAAUUACUGGGCGUAAAGCGCAUGCAGGUGGUUUGUUAAGUCAGAUGUGAAAGCCCGGGGCUCAACCUCGGAAGGUCAUUUGAAACUGGCAAACUAGAGUACUGUAGAGGGGGGUAGAAUUUCAGGUGUAGCGGUGAAAUGCGUAGAGAUCUGAAGGAAUACCAGUGGCGAAGGCGGCCCCCUGGACAGAUACUGACACUCAGAUGCGAAAGCGUGGGGAGCAAACAGG
This 429-nucleotide ribosomal RNA is filed under the name Gemmatimonadota bacterium. Its description in RNAcentral is "Gemmatimonadetes bacterium partial 16S ribosomal RNA". It matches the Rfam family "Bacterial small subunit ribosomal RNA", at positions 355 to 776 of the family's 1533-position model. Lineage: Bacteria; Pseudomonadati; Gemmatimonadota. The record is from RNAcentral.